Molecule: ribosomal RNA, 266 nt
Filed under: uncultured bacterium
Lineage: Bacteria
Description: partial 16S ribosomal RNA
Rfam family: Bacterial small subunit ribosomal RNA
Source: RNAcentral
UGGCGGACGGGUGAGUAACGCGUGGAAAACCUGCCGUAUACUGGGGAGGUAACAACUUAGUAAAUAAGGUGGCUAAUAACCGCCAUAAGACGCACAGCUUCGCAUGAAGCGGUGUGAAAAACUCUGGUGGUAUACGAUGGUUCCGCGUCUGAUUAGCUAGUUGGUGGGGUAAUGGCCUACCAAGGCAACGAUCAGUAGCCGGCCUGAGAGGGUGAACGGCCACAUUGGGACUGAGACACGGCCCAAACUCCUACGGAAGGCAGCAG